Molecule: ribosomal RNA, 333 nt
Filed under: uncultured Clostridium sp.
Lineage: Bacteria; Bacillati; Bacillota; Clostridia; Eubacteriales; Clostridiaceae
Description: bacterial SSU rRNA
Rfam family: Bacterial small subunit ribosomal RNA
Source: RNAcentral
GGCUCAGGACGAACGCUGGCGGCGUGCCUAAUACAUGCAAGUCGAACGCUUCACUUCGGUGAAGAGUGGCGAACGGGUGAGUAAUACAUAAGUAACCUGGCAUCUACAGGGGGAUAACUGAUGGAAACGUCAGCUAAGACCGCAUAGGUGUAGAGAUCGCAUGAACUCUAUAUGAAAAGUGCUACGGGACUGGUAGAUGAUGGACUUAUGGCGCAUUAGCUUGUUGGUAGGGUAACGGCCUACCAAGGCGACGAUGCGUAGCCGACCUGAGAGGGUGACCGGCCACACUGGGACUGAGACACGGCCCAGACUCCUACGGGAGGCAGCAGUAGG